RNAcentral lists this ribosomal RNA (253 nucleotides) under uncultured bacterium. Its description in RNAcentral is "partial 16S ribosomal RNA". It matches the Rfam family "Bacterial small subunit ribosomal RNA", at positions 524 to 776 of the family's 1533-position model. The record is from RNAcentral.
UACGUAGGGUGCAAGCGUUAAUCGGAAUUACUGGGCGUAAAGCGUGCGCAGGCGGCUUUGCAAGUCAGAUGUGAAAUCCCCGGGCUUAACCUGGGAACUGCAUUUGAGACUGCAUGGCUGGAGUGCGGCAGAGGGGGAUGGAAUUCCGCGUGUAGCAGUGAAAUGCGUAGAUAUGCGGAGGAACACCGAUGGCGAAGGCAAUCCCCUGGGCCUGAACUGACGCUCAUGCACGAAAGCGUGGGGAGCAAACAGG